GACGAACGCUGGCGGCGUGCCUAAUACAUGCAAGUCGAACGAGAGCGACCAGUGCUUGCACUGGUCAAUCUAGUGGCGAACGGGUGAGUAACACGUGGGUAACCUGCCCAUCAGAGGGGGAUAACAUUCGGAAACGGAUGCUAAAACCGCAUAGGUCUUCGAACCGCAUGGUUUGAAGAGGAAAAGAGGCGCAAGCUUCUGCUGAUGGAUGGACCCGCGGUGCAUUAGCUAGUUGGUGAGGUAACGGCUCACCAAGGCCGUGAUGCAUAGCCGACCUGAGAGGGUGAUCGGCCACAUUGGGACUGAGACACGGCCCAAACUCCUACGGGAGGCAGCAGUAGGGAAUCUUCCGCAAUGGACGCAAGUCUGACGGAGCAACGCCGCGUGAGUGAAGAAGGUUUUCGGAUCGUAAAACUCUGUUGUUAGAGAAGAAUAAGUGCUAGAGUAACUGUUAGCGCCUUGACGGUAUCUAACCAGAAAGCCACGGCUAACUACGUG
RNAcentral lists this ribosomal RNA (498 nucleotides) under uncultured bacterium. RNAcentral's name for it is "partial 16S ribosomal RNA". It matches the Rfam family "Bacterial small subunit ribosomal RNA", at positions 28 to 507 of the family's 1533-position model. The record is from RNAcentral.